Molecule: long non-coding RNA, 100 nt
Organism: Etheostoma spectabile (orangethroat darter)
Lineage: Eukaryota; Metazoa; Chordata; Actinopteri; Perciformes; Percidae
Exons: 3
Source: RefSeq, a predicted model, not a curated record
UCAUAACUUUACGAUGUUACCCGCCAAAGUUCAUUUUUACCGGCAUUUGGCGGGUUGGCGGGCGUCAAUUUAAAGCCCUGGACACACCAAAUGUUUCUAU